AUGAGAAGCAAAAUAAUUGCCUUGGACCUCCAAGUCAUGAAGAAUGGGUCUAAAAUUCUUAGACAGUCUAAAUAGAAUCCUUUAUUAUUUUUUCUCAAUUUUAUCUUCUCCAAAGAGGAGACAAUAGCAAUGCCCUUACUACAUAGACUGUUACAACCUUUAAAUGAGGUAGUUCAAGUAAACAUUUGGUAAAAUUUCAGGCAUAUAGUAAGUGCUUGGUAAAUGUUAAUUAUUGUUUAUCUUUUUUUCCUACAAAAAUGCAGAACUUAAUGAAGAUUUUAUAAAUAAAAGAACAGACCCUAGGGAAAAUGGUGAUACUUGUGUCUCACCCAGGAAACAUCUACAGCAAGCUACUCCUUAGACAUUCCAAUCUUCAGCCAAAGCCUCAGAGAUAGAGCGCACAAGCAAGGUGGGGGGAAAGGGAGAGAGAAGGAAAGAAUCAUCCAAGAUCAUGACCUCAGUGAGUAGAAAUCAAAUCAAGAGUUGGAAGCUUAAUCGACUGAGCCACCCAGGCACCCCAACUUUUCUUUUCUUUUAAUUCCAGU
This 545-nucleotide long non-coding RNA is filed under the name Vulpes vulpes (red fox). RNAcentral describes it as "lncRNA (ENSVVUG00000021796.1)". The record is from RNAcentral. Lineage: Eukaryota; Metazoa; Chordata; Mammalia; Carnivora; Canidae.